Molecule: ribosomal RNA, 2933 nt
Filed under: Escherichia coli
Lineage: Bacteria; Pseudomonadati; Pseudomonadota; Gammaproteobacteria; Enterobacterales; Enterobacteriaceae
Also listed under: 1 other name
Description: bacterial LSU rRNA
Rfam family: Bacterial large subunit ribosomal RNA
Source: RNAcentral
GGGUUGUGAGGUUAAGCGACUAAGCGUACACGGUGGAUGCCCUGGCAGUCAGAGGCGAUGAAGGACGUGCUAAUCUGCGAUAAGCGUCGGUAAGGUGAUAUGAACCGUUAUAACCGGCGAUUUCCGAAUGGGGAAACCCAGUGUGUUUCGACACACUAUCAUUAACUGAAUCCAUAGGUUAAUGAGGCGAACCGGGGGAACUGAAACAUCUAAGUACCCCGAGGAAAAGAAAUCAACCGAGAUUCCCCCAGUAGCGGCGAGCGAACGGGGAGCAGCCCAGAGCCUGAAUCAGUGUGUGUGUUAGUGGAAGCGUCUGGAAAGGCGCGCGAUACAGGGUGACAGCCCCGUACACAAAAAUGCACAUGCUGUGAGCUCGAUGAGUAGGGCGGGACACGUGGUAUCCUGUCUGAAUAUGGGGGGACCAUCCUCCAAGGCUAAAUACUCCUGACUGACCGAUAGUGAACCAGUACCGUGAGGGAAAGGCGAAAAGAACCCCGGCGAGGGGAGUGAAAAAGAACCUGAAACCGUGUACGUACAAGCAGUGGGAGCACGCUUAGGCGUGUGACUGCGUACCUUUUGUAUAAUGGGUCAGCGACUUAUAUUCUGUAGCAAGGUUAACCGAAUAGGGGAGCCGAAGGGAAACCGAGUCUUAACUGGGCGUUAAGUUGCAGGGUAUAGACCCGAAACCCGGUGAUCUAGCCAUGGGCAGGUUGAAGGUUGGGUAACACUAACUGGAGGACCGAACCGACUAAUGUUGAAAAAUUAGCGGAUGACUUGUGGCUGGGGGUGAAAGGCCAAUCAAACCGGGAGAUAGCUGGUUCUCCCCGAAAGCUAUUUAGGUAGCGCCUCGUGAAUUCAUCUCCGGGGGUAGAGCACUGUUUCGGCAAGGGGGUCAUCCCGACUUACCAACCCGAUGCAAACUGCGAAUACCGGAGAAUGUUAUCACGGGAGACACACGGCGGGUGCUAACGUCCGUCGUGAAGAGGGAAACAACCCAGACCGCCAGCUAAGGUCCCAAAGUCAUGGUUAAGUGGGAAACGAUGUGGGAAGGCCCAGACAGCCAGGAUGUUGGCUUAGAAGCAGCCAUCAUUUAAAGAAAGCGUAAUAGCUCACUGGUCGAGUCGGCCUGCGCGGAAGAUGUAACGGGGCUAAACCAUGCACCGAAGCUGCGGCAGCGACGCUUAUGCGUUGUUGGGUAGGGGAGCGUUCUGUAAGCCUGUGAAGGUGUGCUGUGAGGCAUGCUGGAGGUAUCAGAAGUGCGAAUGCUGACAUAAGUAACGAUAAAGCGGGUGAAAAGCCCGCUCGCCGGAAGACCAAGGGUUCCUGUCCAACGUUAAUCGGGGCAGGGUGAGUCGACCCCUAAGGCGAGGCCGAAAGGCGUAGUCGAUGGGAAACAGGUUAAUAUUCCUGUACUUGGUGUUACUGCGAAGGGGGGACGGAGAAGGCUAUGUUGGCCGGGCGACGGUUGUCCCGGUUUAAGCGUGUAGGCUGGUUUUCCAGGCAAAUCCGGAAAAUCAAGGCUGAGGCGUGAUGACGAGGCACUACGGUGCUGAAGCAACAAAUGCCCUGCUUCCAGGAAAAGCCUCUAAGCAUCAGGUAACAUCAAAUCGUACCCCAAACCGACACAGGUGGUCAGGUAGAGAAUACCAAGGCGCUUGAGAGAACUCGGGUGAAGGAACUAGGCAAAAUGGUGCCGUAACUUCGGGAGAAGGCACGCUGAUAUGUAGGUGAAGUCCCUCGCGGAUGGAGCUGAAAUCAGUCGAAGAUACCAGCUGGCUGCAACUGUUUAUUAAAAACACAGCACUGUGCAAACACGAAAGUGGACGUAUACGGUGUGACGCCUGCCCGGUGCCGGAAGGUUAAUUGAUGGGGUUAGCCGCAAGGCGAAGCUCUUGAUCGAAGCCCCGGUAAACGGCGGCCGUAACUAUAACGGUCCUAAGGUAGCGAAAUUCCUUGUCGGGUAAGUUCCGACCUGCACGAAUGGCGUAAUGAUGGCCAGGCUGUCUCCACCCGAGACUCAGUGAAAUUGAACUCGCUGUGAAGAUGCAGUGUACCCGCGGCAAGACGGAAAGACCCCGUGAACCUUUACUAUAGCUUGACACUGAACAUUGAGCCUUGAUGUGUAGGAUAGGUGGGAGGCUUAGAAGUGUGGACGCCAGUCUGCAUGGAGCCGACCUUGAAAUACCACCCUUUAAUGUUUGAUGUUCUAACGUUGACCCGUAAUCCGGGUUGCGGACAGUGUCUGGUGGGUAGUUUGACUGGGGCGGUCUCCUCCUAAAGAGUAACGGAGGAGCACGAAGGUUGGCUAAUCCUGGUCGGACAUCAGGAGGUUAGUGCAAUGGCAUAAGCCAGCUUGACUGCGAGCGUGACGGCGCGAGCAGGUGCGAAAGCAGGUCAUAGUGAUCCGGUGGUUCUGAAUGGAAGGGCCAUCGCUCAACGGAUAAAAGGUACUCCGGGGAUAACAGGCUGAUACCGCCCAAGAGUUCAUAUCGACGGCGGUGUUUGGCACCUCGAUGUCGGCUCAUCACAUCCUGGGGCUGAAGUAGGUCCCAAGGGUAUGGCUGUUCGCCAUUUAAAGUGGUACGCGAGCUGGGUUUAGAACGUCGUGAGACAGUUCGGUCCCUAUCUGCCGUGGGCGCUGGAGAACUGAGGGGGGCUGCUCCUAGUACGAGAGGACCGGAGUGGACGCAUCACUGGUGUUCGGGUUGUCAUGCCAAUGGCACUGCCCGGUAGCUAAAUGCGGAAGAGAUAAGUGCUGAAAGCAUCUAAGCACGAAACUUGCCCCGAGAUGAGUUCUCCCUGACUCCUUGAGAGUCCUGAAGGAACGUUGAAGACGACGACGUUGAUAGGCCGGGUGUGUAAGCGCAGCGAUGCGUUGAGCUAACCGGUACUAAUGAACCGUGAGGCUUAACCUUACAACGCCGAAGGUGUUU